UGGGGAAUAUUGCGCAAUGGGGGAAACCCUGACGCAGCAACGCCGCGUGCGGGAUGAAGGCUUUCGGGUUGUAAACCGCUUUCAGCAGGGAAGAUAAUGACGGUACCUGCAGAAGAAGCCCCGGCUAACUACGUGCCAGCAGCCGCGGUAAUACGUAGGGGGCAAGCGUUAUCCGGAUUCAUUGGGCGUAAAGCGCGCGCAGGCGGGCCGCUAAGCGGGACCUCUAAUCUUGGGGCUCAACCUCAAGCCGGGUCCCGAACUGGCAGCCUCGAGUGCGGUAGGGGUAAGCGGAAUUCCCGGUGU
RNAcentral lists this ribosomal RNA (303 nucleotides) under uncultured bacterium. RNAcentral's name for it is "bacterial SSU rRNA". It matches the Rfam family "Bacterial small subunit ribosomal RNA", at positions 355 to 676 of the family's 1533-position model. The record is from RNAcentral.